UGCCUGAGUACGACACAGAGACAGGCCAGACAAAGGAGAAGCAAGAGCCGCAUGCCGCUUGGUCCCAGGAAAGUUUUAUCAUCACUCCACAGGACCUUGCCGCUCGCCAGGGAAGCGAAUGCUCCCAGGGAGAGGGUAGUGGAGAAUCAAACCAGACUCAACAGGCCCACCUUCACGUGGUAAGCAUAUGUCCUCUGUUAGAUCUGUUGCUCAUGUCGGGAAUCUUCUUAAAGCAAGUUUGCUGCACAUAUACUCAUCUCAAAACCAUCUCUUGUUCACACCUUGAUAAACAAGGCCACAGAGGCCAGAGGGGGAUGUCCUAAGUGCUUUCAUUACAUUAUUAAAAAAAUAUCAAGGUAUAGGAUAUGUCCCAGAAAAUCACAACAGGCAGAGCUCAGCACAAUGUCCCUCAUGCAUGUCACAGCAAGGUCCCUGCAGUGGAUAUAAGGUCAAUCUCCCCUAAGCAUGAAGAAGGCAUUUAUCCAAAGGCAAAC
Molecule: long non-coding RNA, 494 nt
Filed under: Dasypus novemcinctus (nine-banded armadillo)
Lineage: Eukaryota; Metazoa; Chordata; Mammalia; Cingulata; Dasypodidae
Description: lncRNA (ENSDNOG00000051574.1)
Source: RNAcentral